CGUUUUAGAAACAUUCAGGGCCAACAGUUUCAGGAUUGUUGAGCUCCAUUGGCGGGAUUUCGCCGUCUUCGUUUCUCUUUCUUCGCGGACGAACACGCGCUAGGGGCUGAGCGCUGUGCGAUGCAUCGACUUCACGUCGGGUGCGCGCCGGCAUGUCUCUCGUGUUAGGGGCUUGUAGCUCAGUUGGUUAGAGCGCGCGCUUGAUAAGCGUGAGGUCGGAAGUUCAAGUCUUCCCAGGCCCACCAUUUUGAUCGAGUGCGGAGCAUUCGUCUUCUGGUACGGGGCCAUAGCUCAGCUGGGAGAGCGCGUGCUUUGCAAGCAUGAGGUCGUCGGUUCGAUCCCGUCUGGCUCCACCAGAUGGAAUUGAAGCUCGAGAAUGCCUCGUUCAAUCGUCCGCGAAACAUCACUUCGCACUCAUUGGUCCGGAUGGACGGUGAUGUGCGUGUUUUCUGACAUCGUAAAGAGGAGAUCGAUCCGAGUUUGGAUCUGCGAAGUAAUUCGCGGGUACCAUUCCUAAUCUCCAGAUCGUUUUCGGCGCUCGUUCAUCGCUACUCAUCGCAAGAUGAGUGAGAUGAUCGAGUUGUAAAACGAUCUUUGUAGCGAAGCUUGACCGCCUCGCUAUCGGGCCGAUCUUACGAAGCAAGCUGGUCUUUCUAGUCAAUGUCCGGCUGUGCAAUCGCAUUCAUCGAGGAUGCGCGCCUGGGACUUCGGUCUUUGGGCAAUUACACAGACAACAUUCUGCCGAGUGUGUGGACAUUGAUAAUGAGAGCAAUCAAGUGCCUUAAGGGUGUUCGGUG
Molecule: transfer RNA, 797 nt
Filed under: Bradyrhizobium sp. SEMIA 6443
Lineage: Bacteria; Pseudomonadati; Pseudomonadota; Alphaproteobacteria; Hyphomicrobiales; Nitrobacteraceae
Description: partial contains 16S-23S ribosomal RNA intergenic spacer and 23S ribosomal RNA
Rfam family: tRNA (bases 169-242)
Source: RNAcentral